AGAAAAAUAAGCUAAUUAAGCUAGUGGGUUCAUACCCCGUUUAUAGGAGUUUUAAUCUCCUUUUUUCUA
This 69-nucleotide transfer RNA is filed under the name Caroperla siveci. Its description in RNAcentral is "tRNA-Met". It matches the Rfam family "tRNA". Rfam says of the family: Transfer RNA (tRNA) molecules are approximately 80 nucleotides in length. Their secondary structure includes four short double-helical elements and three loops (D, anti-codon, and T loops). Lineage: Eukaryota; Metazoa; Arthropoda; Insecta; Plecoptera; Perlidae. The record is from RNAcentral.